This 497-nucleotide ribosomal RNA is filed under the name uncultured bacterium. Its description in RNAcentral is "partial 16S ribosomal RNA". It matches the Rfam family "Bacterial small subunit ribosomal RNA", at positions 28 to 507 of the family's 1533-position model. The record is from RNAcentral.
GAUGAACGCUGGCGGCGUGCCUAAUACAUGCAAGUCGAGCGAACAGACGAGGAGCUUGCUCCUCUGACGUUAGCGGCGGACGGGUGAGUAACACGUGGAUAACCUACCUAUAAGACUGGGAUAACUUCGGGAGACCGGAGCUAAUACCGGAUAAUAUGUUGAACCGCAUGGUUCAAUAGUGAAAGACGGUUUUGCUGUCACUUAUAGAUGGAUCCGCGCCGCAUUAGCUAGUUGGUAAGGUAACGGCUUACCAAGGCAACGAUGCGUAGCCGACCUGAGAGGGUGAUCGGCCACACUGGAACUGAGACACGGUCCAGACUCCUACGGGAGGCAGCAGUAGGGAAUCUUCCGCAAUGGGCGAAAGCCUGACGGAGCAACGCCGCGUGAGUGAUGAAGGUCUUCGGAUCGUAAAACUCUGUUAUUAGGGAAGAACAAAUGUGUAAGUAACUAUGCACGUCUUGACGGUACCUAAUCAGAAAGCCACGGCUAACUACGUG